This 153-nucleotide ribosomal RNA is filed under the name uncultured fungus. RNAcentral's name for it is "5.8S ribosomal RNA". It matches the Rfam family "5.8S ribosomal RNA". From Rfam's summary of the family: 5.8S ribosomal RNA (5.8S rRNA) is a component of the large subunit of the eukaryotic ribosome. It is transcribed by RNA polymerase I as part of the 45S precursor that also contains 18S and 28S rRNA. The record is from RNAcentral. Lineage: Eukaryota; Fungi.
CAACUUUCAACAACGGAUCUCUUGGCUCUCGCAUCGAUGAAGAACGCAGCGAACUGCGAUAAGUCAUGUGAAUUGCAGAUUUUCAGUGAAUCAUCGAAUCUUUGAACGCACCUUGCGCUCCUUGGUAUUCCCGAGGAGCAUGCCUGUUUGAGU